Molecule: ribosomal RNA, 450 nt
Filed under: uncultured bacterium
Lineage: Bacteria
Description: bacterial SSU rRNA
Rfam family: Bacterial small subunit ribosomal RNA
Source: RNAcentral
GUGGGGAAUAUUGGACAAUGGGCGCAAGCCUGAUCCAGCAAUGCCGCGUGGGUGAAGAAGGCCUUCGGGUUGUAAAGCCCUUUUGUACGGGAAGAAAUCAUUCGGGUUAAUACCCUGGGUGGAUGACGGUACCGUAAGAAUAAGCACCGGCUAACUUCGUGCCAGCAGCCGCGGUAAUACGAAGGGUGCAAGCGUUAAUCGGAAUUACUGGGCGUAAAGCGUGCGCAGGCGGUUUUGUAAGAUCGAUGUGAAAUCCCCGGGCUCAACCUGGGAACUGCAUUGGUGACUGCAAGGCUGGAGUGCGGCAGAGGGGGAUGGAAUUCCGCGUGUAGCAGUGAAAUGCGUAGAUAUGCGGAGGAACACCGAUGGCGAAGGCAAUCCCCUGGGCCUGCACUGACGCUCAUGCACGAAAGCGUGGGGAGCAAACAGGAUUAGAAACCCUUGUAGUCC